UCUAUAACUACAAUGAGAAUCUUUUCUUUUUAAAAUCUUCUAAAAAUAAAAAACCUUCUAAUGUAGGGGUUCUUAUUUUCAGAGCAUGAACGUGUUAAACAUGAAAAAGCUGCCUCUCAGACAAAGCCAGAGGAGAAAAUGAAACAACCAAAGACUAUUCCCACUGAGAAGUCAGAGCAUGAAGCAGUCAGACAUGAAAAAGAUGUCCCCCUUACAAAACCAGGUAAGCACGCCUGCAUUUUAUUUUGCAUAUUUAUUUUGAAAAUAUUAUUUAAAGAAAUAGUGAAAUACAAUUGCAUAUGACAAAUGUCAAAACCAUUGUCCUGUGAUCUAUUUUGAUGUAUGGAAUGGCCCUGACAUGCCAUACCACAAACUGAAUAGCCCAGUACAUACUUGUAAUGCUGCUCAUCAUUUUAAGAUAUAGAUAUAUGUACACA
This 437-nucleotide long non-coding RNA is filed under the name Lonchura striata (white-rumped munia). RNAcentral's name for it is "domestica (Bengalese finch) lncRNA (ENSLSDG00000016002.1)". The record is from RNAcentral. Lineage: Eukaryota; Metazoa; Chordata; Aves; Passeriformes; Estrildidae.